This is a long non-coding RNA of Dreissena polymorpha, 1585 nucleotides long. RefSeq lists it as uncharacterized. The record is from RefSeq and is a predicted model, not a curated record. The transcript is spliced from 4 exons. Lineage: Eukaryota; Metazoa; Mollusca; Bivalvia; Myida; Dreissenidae.
UGGUGAUCGGUCGAACAUAAAUUAGAACGGCGUAUCUAAAAGGCUGUAGAUCUAGGAAUAACCACAGGUCGCGCGUUAAUAACAAAAUGCUUAAAUCAAGAGGGUCUGUAUUACUUCUAGUAUGUUUGGGACUUCUUGUUCUUCGUUCUAGAGCUGCUUCUCAGAAGAAAGGUUUAUCAGCAUACGCGCCUUUCUUCCUGUGCGAUGACUUUAGAGUGCUAAAUAACAUGUCUUGGUGGGUGGGAAGACGCAAUCAACUUGUAUAACCAGUACGUCACCAGCAAAUGCCCCAGCCCGCAGGCUCACAUGCCCGAGUUUGUCCCAAUGGUAUGGAGCAUGCAUAACAACAACGUCUCCCGGUGGAUCCACAUACCUAGCAACUCGAAGUACGUACUAGUCUUUAACGAACCGGAUCAUCGCGAUCAGGCGAACAUGACACCACAGGAAGCAGCGGACUACUGGCCCUUAAUCGAGCAAGCUGCAGUUGGGAUUCCACUCGUGGCCCCGGCACCCGGGGCGCAGAAUUUCCAUUGGUUGGACACGUUUUUGUAUUUGUACCACAACUGUCGCAUCUUCUUCUUCUUCUUCUUCUUCUUCAAAGUCUUGACGAUCCUAGUGGAUCAACCGAGUUGUAGCACCCGUCAGGCUUUUUAGUUAUCAGUAAAUUCCCAGCACUAUUCCCAGAACAAACACUCUUUGAAAUUGUAUUAAGCGGACGCGCGGAUGCAGCACCUUUCGACAACUCAAAAAUUUUAAAGCGUUUCGUAUGCAAUGUAAAAAAUAGACGCCGACAUUGAAAAUCAAUUUUGUGAAGUCUCUGGCAUUCUACGUUGGAAAGUUUGUGCUUUUUGUAAAGAACAGUACAAUCAAUGAGAGCAGUUACUUUCUGAUCUUGUGUGUACGAUUGCCACAGACAUGGGAAGGAUUUUUCGAUCUCACUUUCUAUGUCACGGAUGAUAGGAUCUCGUACCGCAGACAAGCCCGAACAUUCAAGGACCAUGUGUUGAAGUGUCUCAGGAGACUUGUAGCACACUUUGCGGCGCAUCUGUACAGCUGUAACGCAGACGAGACGAUGGCGUAUCUUCAGAAACUUUUCGCGCGCUACCAUAAGCCGAUCUGGUUGACGGAGUUCGGCUGCGCAUACAUGGCAGACGAAGAAUCGCAGCUGCGUCUGAUGCAGGCGUUGCUUCCCAAGCUUGAGGCGGCGGAUUAUGUGUUCAGAUACUCGUGGUUCACGGCCCGGAUCAAGAAGGAUACUGGUUCGUACGCACGUCCAUGAGUAUGUUGGCUCCGAACUCCGCCACCCUGACACGGCUCGGGCACUUUACAACGACUUCCAGUCCGGGCACGGAACGGGAGCGUCCCCGUCGGCUGAUAACUUGUGCAGUGGACUCUGCCAUUGUCGAGCAUUAUUGUGUUUACUACGCAUGAAUAUAAAGUGCCGUAGACUGUUCAUUUAGUACUCUUUAACAAAUAAUAUACAUGUAGUUGCACUUAAUGAAAUCGGCGCAAAGCAGGAAAAGUAAAUGAACACUUAUGUCAAAGCGUUCAACACUUUUAAAAAGAAUAAAUGGUUUUCAUCUGA